GGGAAGAAUGUAGUGAUGAGGCCCCCAUCUAACAUAGAAGGAGUCUUCCCCAACCAUUUGCUCCGAAACAGUCCAAAGAGAAAAGGGGCUUCGAGUUCCCCGAGCUCGAUAGAGCAAAAGCCAAAGAAAAGCCAAGCCUGUAAACCCAAAGGGGGUACCAUCGCUCUAUCCUUGGACGCUGUCUGUAGGCUAAGGGACGAGUCCGAACAUGAAGAAGAAGUGAAAUCCAAUCUGAUAGUCCGUGUGCGGGCUGGUGCUUUGAUACAAAAUCCCUCUGUGCCGUAGUAGGUUAAUGAGGGAGCUUCGACCGAGGUUCCUGAGCUAGAAAGAGUUGCGGCCACUCCAUCCCGGCUGAGAUAGUCGAGAGAGAGACAUGGGUCAAGGCUUCACAAGCGGUGGAAGAUGUUUUGAGGGAUGAUCUUGGUGUGAUCGAUAUUUUUGGUCCCUUGAGAUUUUGGACGCCACGAUCUGUGAGGCUAAUAUGUUGGAAAAUGGUCCUUGAGAGGGUGCUCAGGGAACGGUCAAUAUUCACAGCUUCUUAGAUGGUGUCAAGUUCGAUGCUUUGAAGGAUGUCACCGAACUUGGUGACUUACCGGUGACGAAGAAAGCACCAUCCCCAGUUGUUACAUGUUCCUCUAGAUGGGCCUAUCUACCUAUGCAUCUUAAUUAACCACAUUCACGACAAACUAAUUCAACUUGCUUUUAUGUAAAAUUCAGAAUUUAAUGAUCAGAGUGCAGUUUUAGUUCAAAAGAUAACCAUGCGGUUAUCAACAUAAACAGAGCAUACAUUUAUACUAUGAUUUAUAAUAAAAGAGAACUCCAACAACUGAAUCAAAUUUUUGGGCUUAGGGCCAAGGGCCAAUGGCCUAGGCCUAGAUUCAAAAGGGCUUCAGAUUCAGCCCUCUUUAAAGAAAGAACAUCCCUUUUGUCCUUACAAAAUGGGCUCAUAACCUGGCCCAUUACACCAUUAUUGUUUAUGAAAAUAUAACAACAUAAUUAAACUCCUAAAGUAGCUGUUGUGAAUGAAAUUAAAGCCUAGUUCAUUACAAUGUUCAAAACAUAAAAUAAGAAAAAACUUUCAAAAUCAACACAUUGCAUUAUAAUUUAUUAAAUACAUAAGCUAACUACAUUAACAACUAAUGUAUUACAAUUUUUGUAGAACUAGCAACCUGAAAAAUUCCUGCCUAUUUUGGACAAAAUUAGUCCAUCAAAUCUUGGUCUCUCUCAUGUUAAAAAGUAGGAACCCAAUUUUCCAGCUUUUGAGUCUGCUGAUUUGGCCAACUAGUGACCAAAACUGCAGGUACUAGCCCAUGGUUUGCCAACAUCCUUAAGUGAUAUUAAGGAGAUAACAUAUUAUUCAUUUAAAAUAAAGAAGAGAAGAUAGCAUGACUUUAAUAAAAACAGCAUUCAAGAUCAGCUUUAAAACAUAUAGCAUUUGGCUAAUAGAAAUAGACCAAAUAGUGAGAGUCAUGUUGAUUCCUUUCUAUGUUAAAAAAUAAAUUCAAUUUUAUUCAUAUCAAGCCAAUCAAACAUCAUAUAAAACAUUGUACAUGUAUUACAAGCUCAUUAAUAGUAUAUCAUUUCAGAAAAAACCAACAGUAUAUGAGGAAGAAAUGAAGGCAGUAUCUCGAAUAAACAACAAUAAGAAACCAACAAUUAUAAGAUGAAAAACUGGUUGAAAGCUCAAAAGAAAAUGAGCGGCAACAGAAACCAGAUAGCCAGCAACCAAAAAUCAAAACCAAACUUCAACAACAUCUAACCACACUAAAACCCCAAAGAGAAACCAAGAAGCUUUCACUUUCAAACCAUAUUUUCAGCUUAAGAAGACUAGAAGAAAUCAGGGAGGUCUUUGACUAUUUUUUGCUAAAUCAAAUAUCAAAGGAAUAUCAGCUUUUAAGAACACAAUAGCUGGAAUUUUAAGAGUGUUUUUCAAGGUUUUCCAUCUUAUUUUCUAUAAGAAAAGGUACUAUAUAUAAGCGCCAAAGAUGUCAUGUGCUGAAAGAAUUAUUCCAUCAGCUACAAAGAGCAUAUUCUAACAGAAUUGGAGAGCUGGCUGUCCUUCAUUGUUCUCAGUACUUUGAGCUAACUAAAUGAGGCCAGUUGUCACCCCAUUCUAGAACAUUCUAGUAUGGAUUCUAUCCAAUUUCAAAAUUAUCUACCCCUUUAUGACCCCCUUGAGUUUUCUUUUGUUCAAUUCGCCCCCAAGAAGUUCCUACUGAUUCACAAAUUUAGGCAAACAAAGAUAAGACUGGAAAGGAUCGGAAUACAAAUCAAAAUGGCAAACAAAAAUUAAAAAUGAUGCAAUUUAGACUAAGAACCUAAUCAGUAAAGGAAAGUGUUUUAUCUAAUUAAACCUAAAUAAAACGAAACUUAAACGGCUAAUGGAUUUUUCACAGUAACUAAACCAAAUUAUUAGGAAAAACUACAAAGAAAUCCUAGAAGUUAAAUUACUCAAUUUAUGAAUUAACAUGUGAAAAUUUAGAAUACAUGAGAGGAGCAGUUAAACAAGAGAAUUGAAAAAAAGACAGAAUAAACAAUUCACCAUUAGUUAAUCUAAACAUGUGCAAAAUUGAAAUGAAGUCCUAGCAUACUUUAAUUAAUCUAAUGAAUAACGUGUAAACAAACAAAUAACAAUUUAAAAUAAGAAAACCCCUAAAAUUAUGCGGUUAAAUAGAAAAAAUUAAACACGAAGAGGAAUCAACAAAGAAAAAAGAAAAAUAAAGAAAAGGUGGAAGAAGCUAUUCAUUUUUAAACCAAACUGGACAAACUAACAAAUCUUAGCCAAGCUUUGAAAGGUAAAAUGAACAUUGAACUAACAUUAAUCGACGGUUCUCAUCAAGAACAGUCGACUAAUGAAAGCUUGGGGUUCAAUUGACCAAACUAUAACCGAAAACCAACAAAGGGUACAAGAUUAGGGUUCAGAGGAC
Molecule: long non-coding RNA, 2927 nt
Filed under: Nicotiana benthamiana
Lineage: Eukaryota; Viridiplantae; Streptophyta; Magnoliopsida; Solanales; Solanaceae
Description: long non-coding RNA (NBEN_LNC011583)
Source: RNAcentral